UACGUAGGGGGCAAGCGUUGUUCGGAAUUACUGGGCGUAAAGGGCGCGUAGGCGGCACAGCAAGUCGGGAGUGAAAGCCCGGGGCUCAACCCCGGAAUGUCUUUCGAAACUGCUGAGCUCGAGUGCGGAAGAGGCAACUGGAAUUCCCAGUGUAGCGGUGAAAUGCGUAGAUAUUGGGAAGAACACCUGAGGCGAAGGCGGGUUGCUGGGCCGACACUGACGCUGAGGCGCGAAAGCCAGGGGAGCGAACAGG
This 253-nucleotide ribosomal RNA is filed under the name uncultured bacterium. Its description in RNAcentral is "partial 16S ribosomal RNA". It matches the Rfam family "Bacterial small subunit ribosomal RNA", at positions 524 to 776 of the family's 1533-position model. The record is from RNAcentral.